AAUGGAAUGCCUGAACUUAAAGGAUUGUUUUGAUAGGACAAACCAUGCAUUUAUACGCUUUCAUUA
RNAcentral lists this transfer RNA (66 nucleotides) under Tenebrionoidea sp. 15 KM-2017. Its description in RNAcentral is "tRNA-Ile". Lineage: Eukaryota; Metazoa; Arthropoda; Insecta; Coleoptera. The record is from RNAcentral.